GGCGGAAUUGGUGAAGGGGUUAACACACUGGUUUGUGGAUCCAGCAUGCGUGGGUUCGAUUCCCACAUUCCGCCCCAU
Molecule: transfer RNA, 78 nt
Filed under: Lactobacillus crispatus 214-1
Lineage: Bacteria; Bacillati; Bacillota; Bacilli; Lactobacillales; Lactobacillaceae
Description: tRNA-His
Rfam family: tRNA
About the family: Transfer RNA (tRNA) molecules are approximately 80 nucleotides in length.
Source: RNAcentral